This 281-nucleotide ribosomal RNA is filed under the name uncultured prokaryote. Its description in RNAcentral is "partial 16S ribosomal RNA". It matches the Rfam family "Bacterial small subunit ribosomal RNA", at positions 524 to 803 of the family's 1533-position model. The record is from RNAcentral.
UACGUAGGGGGCUAGCGUUAUCCGGAAUUACUGGGCGUAAAGGGUGCGUAGGUGGUUUCUUAAGUCAGAGGUGAAAGGCUACGGCUCAACCGUAGUAAGCCUUUGAAACUGGGAAACUUGAGUGCAGGAGAGGAGAGUGGAAUUCCUAGUGUAGCGGUGAAAUGCGUAGAUAUUAGGAGGAACACCAGUUGCGAAGGCGGAUCUCUGGACUGUAACUGACACUGAGGCACGAAAGCGUGGGGAGCAAACAGGAUUAGAUACCCCGGUAGUCCCUGAGCGGG